This 506-nucleotide ribosomal RNA is filed under the name uncultured bacterium. RNAcentral describes it as "partial 16S ribosomal RNA". It matches the Rfam family "Bacterial small subunit ribosomal RNA", at positions 28 to 523 of the family's 1533-position model. The record is from RNAcentral.
GAUGAACGCUAGCUACAGGCUUAACACAUGCAAGUCGAGGGGUAACGAGAGGGAAGCUUGCUUUCCUUGUCGACGACCGGCGCACGGGUGAGUAACGCGUAUCCAACCUGCCCCCAACUAGGGAAUAACCUUGCGAAAGUAAGACUAAUACCCUAUAAUUUCCUCAGAUGUCAUCUGACGAGGAAUAAAGAUUUAUCGGUUGUGGAUGGGGAUGCGUCUGAUUAGCUUGUUGGCGGGGUAACGGCCCACCAAGGCAACGAUCAGUAGGGGUUCUGAGAGGAAGGUCCCCCACAUUGGGACUGAGACACGGUCCAAACUCCCACGGGAGGCAGCAGUGAGGAAUAUUGGUCAAUGGGCGGAAGCCUGAACCAGCCAAGUAGCGUGCAGGAUGACGGCCCUAUGGGUUGUAAACUGCUUUUAUACAGGAAUAAAGUUAGCCACGUGUGGUUAUUUGUAGGUACUGUAUGAAUAAGGACCGGCUAAUUCCGUGCCAGCAGCCGCAGUAA